GUGGCAUCUGAUGCUUAUUGCACCACAUGUGUUUUUCUUUGAAACAAACUUGCUUUGGCGGUGGGCCCAGCCUGCCGCCAGAGGUCUAAACUUACAACCAAUUUUUUAUCAACUUGUCACACCAGAUUAUUACUUAAUAGUCAAAACUUUCAACAACGGAUCUCUUGGUUCUCGCAUCGAUGAAGAACGCAGCGAAAUGCGAUACGUAAUAUGAAUUGCAGAUAUUCGUGAAUCAUCGAAUCUUUGAACGCACAUUGCGCCCUCUGGUAUUCCGGAGGGCAUGCCUGUUUGAGCGUCGUUUCUCCCUCAAACCGCUGGGUUUGGUGUUGAGCAAUACGACUUGGGUUUGCUUGAAAGACGGUAGUGGUAAGGCGGGAUCGCUUUGACAAUGGCUUAGGUCUAACCAAAAACAUUGCUUGCGGCGGUAACGUCCACCACGUAUAUCUUCAAACUUUGACCUCAAAUCAGGUAGGACUACCCGCUGAACUUAAGCAUAUCAAAAAGCGGGAGGAA
Molecule: ribosomal RNA, 513 nt
Filed under: Candida albicans
Lineage: Eukaryota; Fungi; Ascomycota; Pichiomycetes; Serinales; Debaryomycetaceae
Description: eukaryotic LSU rRNA
Rfam family: 5.8S ribosomal RNA (bases 145-298)
Source: RNAcentral